Molecule: ribosomal RNA, 500 nt
Filed under: uncultured bacterium
Lineage: Bacteria
Description: bacterial SSU rRNA
Rfam family: Bacterial small subunit ribosomal RNA
Source: RNAcentral
GGCUAACGCUGGCGGCGUGUCUUAGCCAUGCAAGUCGAGCGGACUUAUGGGGGUAACUUAUAAGUCAGCGGCGGACGGCGGAGUAACACGUAGCUAACCUACCCUCUGGACGGGGGAUAACCUACCGAAAGGUGGGCUAAUACCCGAUGUAGUCAUCCUGUAUAGGGGUGAUGAAAGGUGGGCUUCUGUUUACAAGCUCAUGCUGGAGGAGGGGGCUGCGGCCUAUCAGGUAGUUGGUAGGGUAAUAGCCUACCAAGCCGAUGACGGGUAGCCGGCCUGAGAGGGUGACCGGCCCGAGGGGCACUGAGAUACGGGUCCCACUCCUACGGGAGGCAGCAGGCUAGAAAUUUGGGCAAUGGGGGAAACCCUGACCCAGUGACGCCGCGUGCAGGAAGGAGCCCUUCGGGGUGUAAACUGCUGUCGUGUAGGGAGAAGGGUACUAAGGUGAACAAUCUUAGUACUUGACGGUACUACAGGAGGAAGCCCAGGCUAACCUCGUG